Molecule: long non-coding RNA, 910 nt
Organism: Nerophis ophidion (straightnose pipefish)
Lineage: Eukaryota; Metazoa; Chordata; Actinopteri; Syngnathiformes; Syngnathidae
Exons: 2
Source: RefSeq, a predicted model, not a curated record
ACGUUGUCUUCUGUUGUGUUCCGUAAGCAGUCACGUUAUGCUCUAUGUGCACCCUUUGCUCUCUGUUUUUCCUCCUCAUGUUUGAUUUGUCCCGUUGUCUUCCUUGACGAUCCUUCUGCAGACCUCGGUUCCCGCGUUGACGUUGCUGUGUGUUUCAUCAUUCCUUGUCACCCCCUGCUUCCUGGACUGCCUCCUCGAUCCUCGACCUCCUGCUUGGACACGAUCCUCUGACUCCUUGCCAUUCGCCCUGACUUUCUGCCUAGCCCCUUUGGACUUCUCUCGCUUAAACAUUAGAUGUCCAGUCCACACGGAAAAGCGAGAAUGCGUCCAGGGAGACCGAAGUGUUCGGUACAUGCUCAUUUAGCCAUUGCAACAUUCAUGGUCAGCUCCGCAGAACUGUCUCUUCCUCUGCAUCUCCUCCGGUCUAUUUACGCAAACUCCGGUGUGCAGAAAGCCAACUGUGGGUUUUCCGUGCAAAUACGGGCAUGGCCAAAAGUCUCCCAAGGUGGAUCCAAGAGUUCACAAACAAUCUCCAAAAAGCACUGCAUGCGUCACCAAAGUGCCAUCCCUUGUUGCGCAGUCCCAAAAGGGCCUGAACCAACGGGCAGAAAACACACAAAAACAAGUGGGAAACAUCAAGGACCCAGGAGGAGGACACACACGAGCACAGAGCUCCUGCAACCAGCAGCCACUACAGCGCCACACCUGUGAGGUACCUGGCUUAUGUGCUCACAAAUACCAAUUUCAAUACAUUUGUCAACAAUAUUUGAAAUAGAUCUUUUGUGUCCAUUGAUAUUUGGGUUCAGUUCAUGAUAAAUAAGAGCAAAAGCAAAAGUGUUGCAUUUAUAUCUUUGUUCAGUGUAUACUCCAUUAAUAUUUGAAGAAUCAAAUUAAAUCUGAUUAAAAAAUG